RNAcentral lists this ribosomal RNA (1477 nucleotides) under metagenome. RNAcentral describes it as "bacterial SSU rRNA". It matches the Rfam family "Bacterial small subunit ribosomal RNA". The record is from RNAcentral.
GUUUGAUCCUGGCUCAGAUUGAACGCUGGCGGCAUGCCUUACACAUGCAAGUCGAACGGUAACGCGGGGCAACCUGGCGACGAGUGGCGAACGGGUGAGUAAUAUAUCGGAACGUGCCCAGUAGUGGGGGAUAGCCCGGCGAAAGCCGGAUUAAUACCGCAUACGACCUAUGGGUGAAAGCGGGGGACUCGCAAGGGCCUCGCGCUAUUGGAGCGGCCGAUAUCAGAUUAGCUAGUUGGUGGGGUAAAGGCCUACCAAGGCGACGAUCUGUAGCUGGUCUGAGAGGACGACCAGCCACACUGGGACUGAGACACGGCCCAGACUCCCACGGGAGGCAGCAGAGGGGAAUUUUGGACAAUGGGCGCAAGCCUGAUCCAGCCAUGCCGCGUGUGGGAAGAAGGCCUUCGGGUUGUAAACCACUUUUGUCAGGGAAGAAACGGUCUGGUUUAAUAAACUGGAUUAAUGACGGUACCUGAAGAAUAAGCACCGGCUAACUACGUGCCAGCAGCCGCGGUAAUACGUAGGGUGCGAGCGUUAAUCGGAAUUACUGGGCGUAAAGCGUGCGCAGGCGGCUUUGCAAGACAGAUGUGAAAUCCCCGGGCUCAACCUGGGAACUGCAUUUGUGACUGCAAGGCUAGAGUACGGCAGAGGGGGAUGGAAUUCCGCGUGUAGCAGUGAAAUGCGUAGAUAUGCGGAGGAACACCGAUGGCGAAGGCAAUCCCCUGGGCCUGUACUGACGCUCAUGCACGAAAGCGUGGGGAGCAAACAGGAUUAGAUACCCUGGUAGUCCACGCCCUAAACGAUGUCAACUGGUUGUUGGGAGGGUUUCUUCUCAGUAACGAAGCUAACGCGUGAAGUUGACCGCCUGGGGAGUACGGCCGCAAGGUUAAAACUCAAAGGAAUUGACGGGGACCCGCACAAGCGGUGGAUGAUGUGGUUUAAUUCGAUGCAACGCGAAAAACCUUACCUACCCUUGACAUGUCUGGAAUCCUGGAGAGAUUUGGGAGUGCUCGAAAGAGAGCCAGAACACAGGUGCUGCAUGGCCGUCGUCAGCUCGUGUCGUGAGAUGUUGGGUUAAGUCCCGCAACGAGCGCAACCCUUAUCAUUAGUUGCUACGCAAGGGCACUCUAAUGAGACUGCCGGUGACAAACCGGAGGAAGGUGGGGAUGACGUCAGGUCAUCAUGGCCCUUAUGGGUAGGGCUACACACGUCAUACAAUGGCCGGUACAGAGGGCUGCCAACCCGCGAGGGGGAGCUAAUCUCAGAAAACCGGUCGUAGUCCGGAUCGCAGUCUGCAACUCGACUGCGUGAAGUCGGAAUCGCUAGUAAUCGCGGAUCAGCUUGCCGCGGUGAAUACGUUCCCGGGUCUUGUACACACCGCCCGUCACACCAUGGGAGCGGGUUCUGCCAGAAGUAGUUAGCCUAACCGCAAGGAGGGCGAUUACCACGGCAGGGUUCGUGACUGGGGUGAAGUCGG